This 310-nucleotide ribosomal RNA is filed under the name uncultured fungus. RNAcentral describes it as "partial small subunit ribosomal RNA". It matches the Rfam family "Eukaryotic small subunit ribosomal RNA", at positions 30 to 337 of the family's 1831-position model. Lineage: Eukaryota; Fungi. The record is from RNAcentral.
GCUUGUCUCAAAGAUUAAGCCAUGCAUGUCUAAGUACAAGCCUCAGUAAGGUGAAACCGCGAAUGGCUCAUUAAAUCACACCUAAUCUACUGGAAAGUUACUAGUUACUUGGAUAACUGAGGUAAUUCUUGAGCUAAUACAUGCGAAAAAUCUCGACUCACGGAGAGAUGCUUUUAUUAGACCAAGACCAAGGGUGCCUCGUGUACCUACUGGUGGUGACUCUGAAUAACUUUCUAGCUGAUCGCAUAGCCUUGCGCUGGCGACAUAUCCUUCGAGUAACUGCCUUAUCAACUUUCGAUGGUAGGUUAUU